RNAcentral lists this non-coding RNA (1298 nucleotides) under Cryptosporidium parvum. The record is from RNAcentral. Lineage: Eukaryota; Apicomplexa; Conoidasida; Eucoccidiorida; Cryptosporidiidae.
AUUAAAAGUAAUUUAAUUCUGAAUUAAGACUUUAAGUUUAUUCAAAUCUUUUUACUACUUUUUUUCUUUAUGCUUCACAUUUCUCUUCACCUCAAUCUAAUUCAUCCCAUCUCUAAUCUUUUGAUAUUUUGACUUUAAUUUUUAAUUAUUUGGUUUGACUUUGUAUUAAAACAAGGAUUUUUAUUUCGUUGAGUAAAGCAAAAAAUGUUGAAAUACUCAAGUAAUUAUUGAUUGUAGAGGUAAAUUGUUCAAAUAGAAGCGAGUAUAUCUUCCAUUUUGCAUUACAAUUUGUAAGCCACUCAGAAUUAUUAUUACUCUCACCAAAUAUACUAAUAAUACAUGGAUUAAAGUAAAAUUGAGUGGAAUUAAAAUUUGAAUUGCUUGAAAUAGUCUGUUUCUUACUAAAGAGAUUAUAAAAAAAUAAGUUAUUUGGAUCAUUAAUUACAUCAAUUUUCUUCCAUUUACUAAUAUAGAAUUGUUGCUUUUCAUUAAUAAUUUCCAAUAUAUUAUUAUCCUUUUUAUUACUAAAAUUCAAAUCUCCCUUAUUUAAACCAUUAGGAUUAACCAAUUCAACUUCCUCAAGAAUAACAGAUUCCAAAAUUUCUUUUGAUAUAAUUUCUUUUGGUAAGAAUGAACCUAAAUCAAGAAAAGAGUUAGGAUUUUCAGAAUUUACUGGAAGCUCCAACCAUGUAGAAUUCAUUUCUCUCAAAAAUUCUUCCGAAUUCUCCAAAAGAUUAAUAUCUUGUUCUUUAAUAUUCUUUUCUAUUGAUAGUCUUGGAUAAAACUGUGAUUGCCAAACCAUCCACCAAGGAGGACUAGUAAUAAUAGAAUCAUCCAAAUUCAAAGAAUUUUGGUAAAUAUAAUUAAUAAAUGCAAUAUUAAAUCCAAAAUUACUUAAGUUAUUCUUGAAAACUAAGUCAUUUUGAUCAAAAUCCAUAUUUCCUUUAAUUUCUGAAAACUUUUUAAUCAACUUUGGUGCUUCAAUUGAAUAAUCAUUAUUAGUAUCAUUUUUAAUUGAUUUAAAAUUCUUAAAAUAGUUUUCAUUUAUACCAAAAUCAAAAUCCUCGUCUUCAUUAAUUAUUUCUUCAUCUUCUUGUUCUAUUUCAUAUUUUAUUGGAGUAAAAUAUUCUUUCAAAUAUUUCAAAUCUAAGAUAUUGUUAUCACUAAUCUCAGGUUUUAUAUCAAAAUACUUUAUUAAAGGAUUAAUCCUGCUUUUGAAGAUACUAUUAAUUCUUGCUUGAUCAUAAUAUGUAAGACUUGUAUUUAUAACAAAGACUUGUAUUUCAGAUGAAUAAACC